This 322-nucleotide long non-coding RNA is filed under the name Marmota monax (woodchuck). Lineage: Eukaryota; Metazoa; Chordata; Mammalia; Rodentia; Sciuridae. The record is from RNAcentral.
UCUGGGCCCAGUCUGCUCUGACUCAGCCUCCCUCUGUCUCUGGAACUCCUGGACAGUCAGUCACCAUCUCCUGUGCUGGAACCAGCAGUGACAUUGGGAAAUAUUAUCAUGUGUCCUGGUUCCAAAGUCAUCCAGGAACAACCCAUAAACUCAUGAUUCAUGGUGUUAGUAGUAGGCCCUCAGGGAUCCCUGCUCGCUUCUCUGGCUCCAAGACUGGCACCACAGCCUCUCUGACCAUCUCUGGGCUACAGCUGGAGGAUGAGGCUGUUUACUACGGCUGUUCAUAUGCAGGCAAUUACAAUUACCACAGUGGGCCAAGUUG